UUUUCUUCAUGGCUUCGAAGCUCGUUUUGAACCGACUGAGAUCUCUCUGUAGAGUCUCUCAACUCAGCGACGUCCGUUUUGAUAAACUCAGAGACCCGGUUUCCAUUUUCUCCACCUCACAAAAUCAGGUAACAUGGCGAUCUUAUUCCGAAGCUUCUCAGCCAACUCCGAUAAAUCCUCCACCACCACCUCCUCCAUCCCCUAAUACUUCUACAACAACUUCAAGUUCUCUCAAUGAAUUUGAACUUGCCAAAUUCUCUGCCAUUGCCGAAACCUGGUGGGAUGCAGAAGGACCCUUUAAGCCAUUACAUCUGAUGAACCCUACAAGA
This 329-nucleotide unclassified non-coding RNA is filed under the name Hevea brasiliensis (rubber tree). Lineage: Eukaryota; Viridiplantae; Streptophyta; Magnoliopsida; Malpighiales; Euphorbiaceae. The record is from RNAcentral.